Molecule: ribosomal RNA, 492 nt
Filed under: uncultured bacterium
Lineage: Bacteria
Description: partial 16S ribosomal RNA
Rfam family: Bacterial small subunit ribosomal RNA
Source: RNAcentral
AUUGAACGCUGGCGGCAUGCUUUACACAUGCAAGUCGAACGGUAACAGGCCUUCGGGUGCUGACGAGUGGCGAACGGGUGAGUAAUGCAUCGGAACGUACCCAGAGGUGGGGGAUAACGCAGCGAAAGCUGUGCUAAUACCGCAUGUGAUCUGAGGAUGAAAUCGGGGGACCGAGCAGCAAUGUUUGGCCUCGCGCCUUUGGAGCGGCCGAUGUCGGAUUAGCUAGUUGGGGGGGUAAAGGCCUACCAAGGCGACGAUCCGUAGCUGGUCUGAGAGGACGACCAGCCACACUGGGACUGAGACACGGCCCAGACUCCUACGGGAGGCAGCAGUGGGGAAUUUUGGACAAUGGGCGCAAGCCUGAUCCAGCAAUGCCGCGUGCGGGAAGAAGGCCUUCGGGUUGUAAACCGCUUUUGGCAGGAACGAAACGGUGUCCGCUAAUACCGGGCGCUAAUGACGGUACCUGCAGAAUAAGCACCGGCUAACUACGUG